CUGGGAAGAGGUGAAAAAGGCACGUUAGAAACUGAAAGAGCCCUGCAAAGCUAAUCUGCUCAACCUUCACCUACUGGGUUCAAUGAAUAUGAAAAGCUGCCUUCCUGAAACUUUUCCUUCAAAGAGGGAAUGAUCUCCUGGAAUUCAAGCUUCUACAAGGUGGCUACCUGGUGUUUUCCACUUUUGCCGUCUCCUAAAAAGCAUCAUUCAAGCCUUGCCCUUUCAACCCACUGAACACAUAAACAUGCUUUCUCCUUAACUGAACUUAUGGCCACGAUGAACUUGAACUCUGAGAUUCACAGAGGAGAGUUUGUUUUAACAGCUGCUUUUACAAUGAAGCCCUGGAGUUACUACUCUCAAGACCCCUGGUUCUGAUAGGCCAUCUUUUCACUGUCCUCUGCAUUUUCUAAUGCCCAGCUGUCAAGGAACACCCACUGAAGUUUUCCAAAACAAAGGCACGAAACACAAGAAAGGCAAGAGAAUGCUAAUCACCAGAUGCAUGGGCAUCCUAUGGGGGAACCCCUUACA
RNAcentral lists this long non-coding RNA (528 nucleotides) under Homo sapiens (human). RNAcentral describes it as "ADAMTS9 antisense RNA 1". The record is from RNAcentral. Lineage: Eukaryota; Metazoa; Chordata; Mammalia; Primates; Hominidae.